AUCUUUGCGCUUGGGCAAUGACGCAGCCAGUGAGGUACUAACUGAGGCUCGUCUCUUGCUGGAUUAUUUUUUUUGUCAAAGGUCUAUUGCUGGUUGAAAACUAUUUCCAAAAUCAUGUUUGUAUUCUGAUUAAAAAAAAAAUCAU
Small nuclear RNA from Lotus japonicus, 145 nucleotides. RefSeq annotates it as U4 spliceosomal RNA. The transcript has a single exon. The record is from RefSeq and is a predicted model, not a curated record. Lineage: Eukaryota; Viridiplantae; Streptophyta; Magnoliopsida; Fabales; Fabaceae.